This 253-nucleotide ribosomal RNA is filed under the name uncultured bacterium. RNAcentral describes it as "partial 16S ribosomal RNA". It matches the Rfam family "Bacterial small subunit ribosomal RNA", at positions 524 to 776 of the family's 1533-position model. The record is from RNAcentral.
UACGUAGGGUGCGAGCGUUGUCCGGAAUUAUUGGGCGUAAAGGGCUCGUAGGCGGUUUGUCGCGUCGGGAGUGAAAACCCAGGGCUUAACCCUGGGCUGGCUUCCGAUACGGGCAGACUAGAGGUAUGCAGGGGAGAACGGAAUUCCUGGUGUAGCGGUGAAAUGCGCAGAUAUUGGGAGGAACACCAGUGGCGAAGGCGGCACUCUGGGCCAGUACUGACACUGAGGAGCGAAAGCCAGGGGAGCAAACGGG